AACAUAACAUGAUUAACUCCCAAGUCAGUGUCAGCUACACGUUGGGAGAGUCGUGUUGACAGUGUUAAAGCUAUUUGACUUCAAUGUGCAGACAUUCGGGAGGCCCUACUUCAGGUAUCUGAGACUGAUAAUGAUACAAAAAAGAUCAGUGAGGCUAAAGGUUUGACAAAUAAUGAAUUUGGAUAGUAUGAUUUCAUAGUGGCGAUAGUUAUUUGGUAUGAGGUAUUGUAUGCUGUUAAUUUAGUAAGCAAACACCUGCAAGCAAAGGAUAUGCUUAUUGAUGUUGCUAUUGAGAAAGUGCAAGGAUUGCUUUCUUUCUUGAAUGGGUAUAGGGAGACUGUGUUUUUAGAAGCAUUGGAGAUAGCCAAAGGAAUUGCAUUUGAGAUGGAUAUUGGUACAACAUUUAGCAAAAGACGAGAAAUUAAUAGAAAGAGGCAUUUUGAUGAGAACCCAGAUGACAUGGAUGUUGCCACAGAGUGUGCAGAGGAAUCAUUCAAAGUCAACUAUUUUUAACAUAUUGUUGAUCAAGUAAUUCUCUCACCUACAAGCUGAUUUGACCAAUAUCAGGGUUACCAGAAAAUAUUUGGUUUCUUGUUUACCUCCGAAACAUUGCAGUCAUUGGAUAAGAAUAGCUUGGAAAGUUCUUGUGACAAUCUUGAGGUUUCUCUUAAAAAGGAUGGUAAAUCUGAGAUUGAUGCUAAUGAACUUUAUGCGGAGUUGAUGUUUCUUCAAAAUUUCAUGCCAAAGGAAAAUCUUGGGCCAGUUGAAAUUCUAAAGUUUUUAAAGUGGCAUGAUUGUUUCCCCAAUGCAAGUAUUGCAUAUAGAUUGUUGACUAUCCCUGUGACUGUUGCUUCGGCAGAACGGAGCUUUUCUAAAUUGAAGUUAUUGAAGUCCUAUAUGCGCAAUACCAUGGCACAACAAAGUCUCACUGAUUUGGCCACAAUGGCACUAGAGAGUGAUCUAUUGGAGAAGGUUGAUUAUGAGGAUAUUAUUGAAUAUUUUAUUACAAAGAACACUAAAAGAAUGAUGUUCUUUAAGUGA
RNAcentral lists this ribosomal RNA (1041 nucleotides) under Triticum aestivum (bread wheat). Its description in RNAcentral is "partial small subunit ribosomal RNA". The record is from RNAcentral. Lineage: Eukaryota; Viridiplantae; Streptophyta; Magnoliopsida; Poales; Poaceae.